Prinia subflava (tawny-flanked prinia) is the source of this 1717-nucleotide long non-coding RNA. RefSeq lists it as uncharacterized. The record is from RefSeq and is a predicted model, not a curated record. The transcript has 3 exons. NCBI's taxonomy places the organism in Eukaryota, Metazoa, Chordata, Aves, Passeriformes, Cisticolidae.
CGGCGCCCUCACAGACCAUCCCGCCCCUUCCCGGCGGGCUUGGGGAGGCGCUGGUGCCCGGUUGGACCCUGGAAUACACAGGGGCCGUGAGCAAUCGGCACGGCCCGAGGUGUGGAUGCGCUUUCCAGGAGCUCAGGGGAGCUGCCUCAAACGGGAGCGUCCCUCAAAGCUCAGCGAGUUUCUGAAGCUGGUGAGCGAAGAGCCAGAAUCGUAUGGACACCUUGGGUAGUGUGGGCAAUCUCUCAGAUGGACCUCUGAACCUCCCUGAAAUCCUUCAGGACUUCUGAGUACUGGGAAAGAGCAAGCAGAAAAAGCAUUAGACUGAAUCUCUGAUGAUGCUGCCAAAAGCACAAAGACUGCAGUGAGGCUCUUUCAGCAGUGACUCCCAGGGCAGUGCCUGUCAGGACUCCUCAGAGCAUUCCCCCGUGGAUUCUCAGGCACAGGAGUGGCUGUUCCUGGGGAGCACAGAGGGGAUCACACGCACUCCUGGACCUCUGCAGCUCCACGUGAGUAACUCUGGGGCCUUCUGCUUUGCUGGUUCCUGGCAGCAAAGCUGCCCUCACCAUUACCAGCAGCUCUUCUGCUGCUCCUCUCAGCAGAGAUCUCUCUCUGCCAGACUCUCACAGUCUUUGUAGGGCAGGGAUGUUUGAAGCUCCUUCCUGAGAGCUCUAAAAUGUCCUGGGCGUGUUGCUCGUGGUUUGGGUAAGGGAGAAGUUUUCAUUGCCUAUUUGUGUGUUGAAAAGAUAAAUCACUUUAUAAAUACCUGUAAGUAACUUCCAACUUCCUUUUGGCAUGUCAACAACAUAACUAAUUAAGAAGAAGCAAAUUACAAUUUAAUACAACUCCCCAAAUGCUCUCUCUAAAGCCUUAAUACAAGAAUAGAAUAAAAAUACUCUCAGGAGGCUGAAGACCAACAGGAUAUAAGGGAUUGGUUGAAGAUAGGGUGCGUGGUCAGAUCUGACCAGUGAAUCUGAGCAGGAAGAUCAAGAGGGACCCCUUGGCAGAGAAAGUCAGCAGGGAAUGAUUGCUCAUUGCCUCCCUUUUCAGAACAAAAAUUUGGGAAAUAAUUUCUUGUAAACAUUAGGUGUAAUCUAAUCUGCUUAAAAAAUUAAGUCCCCUUCAUUAAUUUUUAAAAUCUCAUUCACUGGAGAUUUUUUGAUCAUUCCUUUUUGUCCCCACACAGAAUUUGUUUUUUUAAUUCAUAAAGAUGACCCCUGACAGAUUCCACUGGACUCACAGGAUCACCUUAAUUUAUCUUUGCUUUUUUUAAACUACAUGAUUCAAGUGAUAAGAAUAUAAAGUGUGCAUAAAAUCAAUACACCCAUCUUCCUUAACUGAAUCCUAUAUACACUUAUACAUCAUAUAUACACCUAGAAAUAUGGUGUGCAAUUUUUUCCUGCUAUUUCUGGACAGCUCUAACUUUGUAUGAGCUUAAUUGGAUUAUUUAAUUAUUUGCAUUCUAUUUUGUUAUUUAGUAAGCUCCUAGUUUGGAUGAGAAAUAAUGAGAAGUCUUUCAGAAUGCAGAUUAAUGCAGAUUUUUUUUUCUUUGGCUGACAUUUCCUAUAGACCGACUGUACAAAUGUCAUCUGGGAAAAUAAUAUUUGUCACAAAUGUAUUAGCAUGAGGAGUAAAGUAGAAAAAAAAAUUUAAACAAAACCAACUUGUUGUGUGUUUCUGUGUUUCUUUUUUUUGAAUGGAAGAGCUGUAUUUUCACACC